CCUACGGGAGGCAGCAGUGGGGAAUCUUAGACAAUGGGGCAACCCUGAUCUAGCCAUGCCGCGUGAGUGAUGAAGGCCUUAGGGUUGUAAAGCUCUUUCAGCUGGGAAGAUAAUGACGGUACCAGCAGAAG
This 131-nucleotide ribosomal RNA is filed under the name uncultured Paracoccus sp. Its description in RNAcentral is "partial 16S ribosomal RNA". It matches the Rfam family "Bacterial small subunit ribosomal RNA", at positions 338 to 487 of the family's 1533-position model. Lineage: Bacteria; Pseudomonadati; Pseudomonadota; Alphaproteobacteria; Rhodobacterales; Paracoccaceae. The record is from RNAcentral.